GUCCUAGCCGUAAACGUUGGAUGCUAGGUGUGGGGGGACAUCGACCCCUUCCGUGCCGAAGCUAACGCAUUAAGCAUCCCGCCUGGGGAGUACGGCCGCAAGGCUAAAACUCAAAGGAAUUGACGGGGGCCCGCACAAGCGGCGGAGCAUGUGGCUUAAUUCGAUGCAACGCGAAGAACCUUACCUGGGCUUGACAUGCGGGGUGAAACCGUGGAAACACGGUGCUCUUCGGAGCCCGCACAGGUGGUGCAUGGCUGUCGU
RNAcentral lists this ribosomal RNA (261 nucleotides) under uncultured bacterium. Its description in RNAcentral is "partial 16S ribosomal RNA". It matches the Rfam family "Bacterial small subunit ribosomal RNA", at positions 793 to 1055 of the family's 1533-position model. The record is from RNAcentral.